ACUUAAGUAGCUUAUUCUUUUUAAAGCUUUUCUUUGAAGAAGAAACGAAGUCCGCCCUUAAGUA
This 64-nucleotide transfer RNA is filed under the name Mesobuthus eupeus (lesser Asian scorpion). RNAcentral describes it as "tRNA-Phe". Lineage: Eukaryota; Metazoa; Arthropoda; Arachnida; Scorpiones; Buthidae. The record is from RNAcentral.